This is a non-coding RNA of Phrynosoma platyrhinos (Desert horned lizard), 72 nucleotides long. The record is from the annotation of a GenBank genome assembly. NCBI's taxonomy places the organism in Eukaryota, Metazoa, Chordata, Lepidosauria, Squamata, Phrynosomatidae.
UUCAGAGUGAUGUAGUGGUUUGAGUGUUGGACUCUGGCUCUGAAGACCAGGGUUCAAAUCCCCACUCAGUCA